This 51-nucleotide transfer RNA is filed under the name Aleuroglyphus ovatus (brown legged grain mite). RNAcentral describes it as "tRNA-Tyr". The record is from RNAcentral. Lineage: Eukaryota; Metazoa; Arthropoda; Arachnida; Sarcoptiformes; Acaridae.
UUGACGAAGUUAGUUUAGGAGCUGUAAACUCUUAGUAAAUUAGUCGUCUGG